Molecule: ribosomal RNA, 301 nt
Filed under: uncultured bacterium
Lineage: Bacteria
Description: partial 16S ribosomal RNA
Rfam family: Bacterial small subunit ribosomal RNA
Source: RNAcentral
CAGCAGCCGCGGUAAUACGAAGGGUGCAAGCGUUACUCGGAAUUACUGGGCGUAAAGCGUGUGUAGGUGGUUGUUUAAGUCUGUCGUGAAAGCCCUGGGCUCAACCUGGGAAUUGCGAUGGAUACUGGGCGACUAGAGUGCGGUAGAGGAUAGUGGAAUUUCCGGUGUAGCAGUGAAAUGCGUAGAGAUCGGAAGGAACAUCUGUGGCGAAGGCGACUAUCUGGGCCAACACUGACACUGAGACACGAAAGCGUGGGGAGCAAACAGGAUUAGAUACCCGAGUAGUCCCUGUCUCUUAUAC